RNAcentral lists this ribosomal RNA (482 nucleotides) under uncultured bacterium. RNAcentral describes it as "partial 16S ribosomal RNA". It matches the Rfam family "Bacterial small subunit ribosomal RNA", at positions 30 to 507 of the family's 1533-position model. The record is from RNAcentral.
AUUGAACGCUGGCGGCAUGCCUUACACAUGCAAGUCGAACGGUAACGGGCCUUCGGGUGCCGACGAGUGGCGAACGGGUGAGUAAUACAUCGGAACGUGCCCGAUCGUGGGGGAUAACGAGGCGAAAGCUUUGCUAAUACCGCAUACGAUCUACGGAUGAAAGCAGGGGGCCGCAAGGCCUUGCGCGGACGGAGCGGCCGAUGGCAGAUUAGGUAGUUGGUGGGAUAAAAGCUUACCAAGCCGACGAUCUGUAGCUGGUCUGAGAGGAUGAUCAGCCACACUGGGACUGAGACACGGCCCAGACUCCUACGGGAGGCAGCAGUGGGGAAUUUUGGACAAAGGGCGCAAGCCUGAUCCAGCCAUGCCGCGUGCAGGAUGAAGGCCUUCGGGUUGUAAACUGCUUUUGUACGGAACGAAAAGCCUUCUUUUAAUACAGGAGGGUCAUGACGGUACCGUAAGAAUAAGCACCGGCUAACUACGUG